UCCUUGCUCUGAAGGCUUCCCAGAUGGUCUUGCCCAGGUUGUCAGGUGCUCCUCUGAGUGAUGGGUUAAGAGGAAGCGGCUGCGGUGUGGGGCUGUAGGGGACCAGCUGUUCCAGCUGGCUCAUCACUGAGGAGUUCCCAGAUGCACCACAUUGGUGCUAAACUCAGAAAGUCCUGGGCAACCCCAAACAAGUUGGUCAUUCGGGCGGGGUUCCAGCCGCUUUUCAGGAUUCACCUUGCGGAACCCGCAGUGGUGGUCGUGUUAUCUACCCAUUGUAAAGAAGAAACGAAGGUUGGAAGAGGCUAAACAAGCUGCCCAAACUAUCCGGUUGGGGAGGGAAGAAUGGACAUUUGAAUUUAGGACUGCCGGACCCAUGCUCUUUCCCCUGGAUGCCUCUGAGGUUGAGAGAUGGGAAGCGGCCUUCACCGGUGUGAAUCUGUGAUGCCCAAACGAUGCUGCAUGGGCAGAUUGGGAAUUGUUGGUGUUGGGGAAAGGACAGCCUGGGAACCUGAGAACCCGAGAGCCGUCCCUGGCCCCCUAGAAGGUGAGCACAAACAUCCUGGACCUCGCUUUCCUCUCUAUAGUGUGGGCAUAAUGAUAUAUUUGCUGUCUGCUGGUAAGAUUGUUCUGAGAUUUGAUUAACCUGCUGUAGCAAAAAUAAAUAUGCGAAACAAGAAUGAAACAAACAAAACCAAGGAGGAUGCCUAGUUAAAUCUGAAUUUCAGAUAAUGAAUAAUUUCUGAGUAUUAACAUGCCCCAUGCAAUAUUUUACCUGCAUUUUGUCUGGCAGCCUACCUGAGAUGAACACGCAGAAGUGACUUUGAAAUGGGUUCUGGCCAGAGGGUCCUGGGGCCCCAGCUGGCUCUUUCCUUUUGGUGAGAGAGGGCUCCUUGCUCUAGUGGAGAUGAGAGCUUGUCCAUCCUUGGACUUGAGAUAGUCCCUCAAGCACCAACAAGCGAAGAAGGAGGAGCCACUGUACAGAGGGAGGAGGUGGGGUGCACCGCUAUUUACUGAGCACCUAUUGUGUCCUAGGCGGUUGGUAAACACCCAGUCUCUAUGUGUGCC
This 1065-nucleotide long non-coding RNA is filed under the name Callithrix jacchus (white-tufted-ear marmoset). RNAcentral's name for it is "lncRNA (ENSCJAG00000073557.1)". Lineage: Eukaryota; Metazoa; Chordata; Mammalia; Primates; Cebidae. The record is from RNAcentral.